RNAcentral lists this long non-coding RNA (660 nucleotides) under Marmota monax (woodchuck). The record is from RNAcentral. Lineage: Eukaryota; Metazoa; Chordata; Mammalia; Rodentia; Sciuridae.
AGCUAGGAGAGGAGGAGAAAGAGGAGGAGGAGGAGAAAGGCGAAGAAAAAGAGACGGAGCCUGAGAGACGGAGAAAGAGCGAGAGAGGAAGAAAGAGAGGCAGAAAGGGCGUGUUUCUGGCUCUGCGUUUCCCCUCCCCUUUCUCAGGUCCCUUGCUCGGGCUCUGCGCGCUCUCCGGCUGCAGCUCCCUCCGGGCGAAGCUGGGAAUUGGGUGGGAUUAUACGCAGCAGUCCCGCCGCCGCCGCUAGCAGAGCCCGGCUGGAUUGAAGAGGGCGGGGGUUCCCCUCCGUCAGCUGCGCCGAGCGCCCCUCGCCUGGUCCCUCGCCGCCUCGCUCGCCUCGCUCGCCUCGACGUCGGGCCGGGAGAAGCCGGCAGCUUGGGAGCCUCCCGCCGAGGGCGCCGCGGUCCGCGCCCCACGCCCGCAGCCCCGGCCCGGCCUCGGCGGGGCGCCGCUCCCCUCCCCCUCCGGCGCACAGGGGGCCCCCGCCGGCUUCCGCCCUCCCGGGGCUGCGAGACCAGCCCCAGCGGACCCGCUGCCCGGAGAAGCUCCAGCCAUGGGCUCGGGGCGCGUGCCCGGGCUCUGCCUGCUAGUCCUACUGGUCCAUGCCCGCGCCGCCCAGCACAGCAAAACAGCACAAGGAAAGGAAAAACAGACGACCC